Molecule: long non-coding RNA, 1722 nt
Filed under: Androctonus crassicauda
Lineage: Eukaryota; Metazoa; Arthropoda; Arachnida; Scorpiones; Buthidae
Source: RNAcentral
CACGAAUCGGUGACGUCACGACUAUUCUAACACCCGAGGGAACCCGUGAAGGGCCCACGCCACAACUGUGACUCGACGCACCAAGGAAAAAUACGGAAUAGUCCCGCGUAUCGUAACUAUAUUCUUUCAUCCAACCAGUGCCAAAAAAUAAAAUUCCGGUUCGGCUUUCCUAAAUAUCGGCGCCGUUUUCCCGGAACAUAGCUUUUUAAAAAAAUAUGGGGCAAAUCAUUCAGAGCUAUAAAUACACUAGGUCGUCGGUUCGGGUACCCAAUCGGCAGGUGGCAAGGCCGCGGUAGGUAGCGGCCCGCCAGAAGACGACGAAACAAUGUGGGUCCGGAAUCUGAUCCCUGAUCCUCGGCGCCUUUGGGUAAAGACGCAGAGACUCGACUCCGAUUUCGAUCGUAAAACUGACGAUUGCAAUAAACAGAAAGCCGACCGACCGUACGAGUAAAAAGGCGACGAGCCGGUUGCCCCUCCGACCUCACCCCACCAGUGCUGGGUAAUGCGACGGUCCGGAGUCCUUGAAAGGUCUGGGAGCCGGAGUUAGGGCGGAGGAUAACGAGCCAGACAAAGGAAGGAGGUCAAUGGAAGCCGCGGGGACCGAAAGGUCGAAGGUAGCGCCUGAAUGCUUGGGGGAAGCAAGCGGUGGGCAAGCAGGUGUUGUUUUAUAAACUUUCGCUUCGGUCACGUAACUGUUGUGUACCUGCGAAGAGAACCCGUCCAAUGAGAUUUAUUAACAGUUUCGGUAGUAUUGUUUGCCCGGGGACAGGCCGGACGGUUUGCCAAAAGCCGUGCACGUGCGCUACAGCCUUAAAAAUAGACGGAUGCAGAGAAAAAGAAAAAGGAACCAAACGGACGGUGAUUUACCUCAGGGUGAGACCAGUAUUUUCGGACGCGUUACAAAAAUAUAUACGGGACGAAAAGGAAAUUCGGUCCCGACUUUUCUGCCGAAUAACGACCGGAGUAUAGUUAAAAAAGCGAAAUGAUAAAAAAUAAACUCGCCUAGUGUUGACAAAAUCUACUUAUCACUAACCAGUGCCAGGGGCAUUUUGCACACUUCUUAUACCGACUCCGGAAUUCAAAUAAUAAUAAUAAUAAUCUAGAAUACAGUACUGUAUAUUUUUCUGCGCUGAAAAGGUACCGAUAUAACUAUUGGAAACGUUUUGCCAGUGUUUCCGAUGGAUGACGUUAGCAACCUUUUUUCUACAUUUGACUCAUUCUUUAAUGGUUCGGACCAUGCUUUACUACUCUAGUCAUACUCCAAACAGGUGUACAUCCCUGCUGGGCUUCGAAAUAAAAGACUAUUACCGGGAUGACGUCGGACGAAGAAUAAUUGUGAAACAAAUCCACUAAUAAAACAUACUGAAUUUAGAUAGGCCUAUAUAUUAUCAUUUCCUUGAAUCUAAAAACCUUAGAUGACGUUUAAAAAUUAUAAACCAGGAUACAUAUGUUAUAGGCCUUACAAUAUUUAAAAUGUUGUAUAAAGUACAAGACAAUCUUUUUUUUUUAAUCAAGAGUUAAUAUCCUUUACUGAUAAAAAUAUUAUAUCCCUUUGUCGUAAUUGUAUUACAGAACUGCAGAUAAGUUGUAAAUUAUCACUAAUACCCGGCCAUAUCGGAUCUACUGAUGAACGAAGAGAUUCUGAUAUUCUAUACUAUAUACUCAUUAAUAUCCUAUCUCAUCCUAAUUUUAUAUCGGCAAUAUGAUAAUCGGAACUUUUCA